GCUUCACUCGUCCAAUUGGCAGGACGCCUGGCUUCCACCCAGGAAAUGCGGGUUCGAGUCCCGCGUGAAGCUC
This 73-nucleotide transfer RNA is filed under the name Microbacterium phage Musetta. Its description in RNAcentral is "tRNA-Gly". It matches the Rfam family "tRNA". From Rfam's summary of the family: Transfer RNA (tRNA) molecules are approximately 80 nucleotides in length. Their secondary structure includes four short double-helical elements and three loops (D, anti-codon, and T loops). The record is from RNAcentral. RNAcentral also lists the same sequence under 11 other names. Lineage: Duplodnaviria; Heunggongvirae; Uroviricota; Caudoviricetes.